CUACGGGCCGCAGCAGUGGGGAAUAUUGCACAAUGGGCGCAAGCCUGAUGCAGCCAUGCCGCGUGUAUGAAGAAGGCCUUCGGGUUGUAAAGUACUUUCAGCGGGGAGGAAGGGAGUAAAGUUAAUACCUUUGCUCAUUGACGUUACCCGCAGAAGAAGCACCGGCUAACUCCGUGCCAGCAGCCGCGGUAAUACGGAGGGUGCAAGCGUUAAUCGGAAUUACUGGGCGUAAAGCGCACGCGGGCGGUUUGGUAAGUCAGAUGUGAAAUCCCCGGGCUCAACCUGGGAACUGCAUCUGAUACUGGCAAGCUUGAGUGUCGUAGAGGGGGGUAGAAUUCCAGGUGUAGCGGGGAAAUGCGUAGAGAUCUGGAGGAAUACCGGUGGCGAAGGCGGCCCCCUGGACGAAGACUGACGCUCAGGUGCGAAAGCGUGGGGAGCAAACAGGAUUAGAUACCCGUGUAGUC
Molecule: ribosomal RNA, 464 nt
Filed under: uncultured bacterium
Lineage: Bacteria
Description: partial 16S ribosomal RNA
Rfam family: Bacterial small subunit ribosomal RNA
Source: RNAcentral